RNAcentral lists this long non-coding RNA (976 nucleotides) under Capsicum annuum. RNAcentral describes it as "long non-coding RNA (CANN_LNC014555)". Lineage: Eukaryota; Viridiplantae; Streptophyta; Magnoliopsida; Solanales; Solanaceae. The record is from RNAcentral.
UUAAUUUGGGUAAUAGUAUUAUAGGACACUUGGAUGUUGAGCUGCAAAUUUGAGUUUAUUGAAUAGGGUGGGUGAUCCUUUGGCUAGGUCAGGAUUCGAGUUUAUGUUUAAGCAUAGACAAUGGACGUACCCGAAAGAGGGUCAUUCGAAAACAACAUUUCUACCUCCACGUGGUAGAGGCAAGGUCCGUGUACACUCUGCCUUUCUUAACCUCCACUUGUGGAAUUUCACUGGAAUGUUGUUUGUUUUGUGGAUUUUCUAGUUGUUAAGAAUGGGAAUGUUGAUGGGUUUUGAUAGGGUUUCUAGUUUUUAAAAACAAAAAUUUUGAUGGAUUUUCUAGUUGUUAAGAAUGAAGUAUUGAUGGGUUUUAUGAAAUCUGCAAUUUUGAUCGGGUUUAUGUGAUUAGUUGUUAAGCGCUCCCUAUUACGCAUUUUAUCAUACGACACAAACAUUCACAAAUUACUGCUUGAAGCUAUUCGUAAUAUGGAUGUGCAUUGCGUAAAAUUUGAUUAGGAUGUGAGACGUGUUAAUUUGGGUAAUAGUAUUAUAGGACACUUGGAUGUUGAGCUGCAAAUUUGAGUUUAUUGAAUAGGGUGGGUGAUCCUUUGGCUAGGUCAGGAUUCGAGUUUAUGUUUAAGCAUAGACAAUGGACGUACCCGAAAGAGGGUCAUUCGAAAACAACAUUUCUACCUCCACGUGGUAGAGGCAAGGUCCGUGUACACUCUGCCUUUCUUAACCUCCACUUGUGGAAUUUCACUGGAAUGUUGUUAUUGCUGAGCAUAGAGACAGGUAGUGUCACUGAUUGAGAAUAACAUAGGCAAGUAGUGUUGAGAGGAUGGAAGUAUGGAAGUUUUGUAGUAAACUUGAGCUUCUAGACAUGCUUCUAGUCAUCCACGACUCUCUUCUUAUUUAUCAAUAGUGAACCAUUUUCCCUUCUGCUAAAAUGGACACUGAUUCCUACUCAUCAGUACUAUUA